AACGUACGCUGGCGGCACGCCUAACACAUGCAAGUCGAACGAAGUAGCAAUACUUAGUGGCAGACGGGUGAGUAACAUGUGGGUAUCUGCCCUUUGGCCUGGAAUAACACGAGGAAACUUGUGCUAAUCCCGGAUAAGUCUUUACGGAGAAAGCUUUAUGCACCAUUGGAUGAGCCCGCACUUGAUUAGUUAGUUGGUAGGGUAAUGGCCUACCAAGACUGUGAUCAAUAGCUGAUUUGAGAGGAUGAUCAGCCACAUUGGGACUGAGACACGGCCCAAACUCCUACGGGAGGCAGCAGUGGGGAAUCUUGCACAAUGGAGGAAACUCUGAUGCAGCGAUGCCGCGUGAGUGAAGAAGGCCCUUGGGUUGUAAAGCUCUUUCGUCGGGGAAGAAAAUGACUGUACCCGAAUAAGAAGGUCCGGCUAACUUCGUGCCAGCAGCCGCGGUAAUACGAAGGGACCUAGCGUAGUUCGGAAUUACUGGGCUUAAAGAGUUCGUAGGUGGUUGAAAAAGUUAGUGGUGAAAUCCCAGAGCUUAACUCUGGAACUGCCAUUAAAACUUUUCAGCUAGAGUAUGAUAGAGGAAAGCAGAAUUUCUAGUGUAGAGGUGAAAUUCGUAGAUAUUAG
Molecule: ribosomal RNA, 627 nt
Filed under: alpha proteobacterium IMCC14610
Lineage: Bacteria; Pseudomonadati; Pseudomonadota; Alphaproteobacteria
Description: bacterial SSU rRNA
Rfam family: Bacterial small subunit ribosomal RNA
Source: RNAcentral